Molecule: ribosomal RNA, 924 nt
Filed under: Clava multicornis (club hydroid)
Lineage: Eukaryota; Metazoa; Cnidaria; Hydrozoa; Anthoathecata; Hydractiniidae
Description: small subunit ribosomal RNA
Rfam family: Microsporidia small subunit ribosomal RNA (bases 488-915)
Source: RNAcentral
AUUCUUUUGAUUUUGGAGAAAUAAAGAUUGGAGAUUUAUUUAUACAUGUUUGUGUAAGCUUAUAAGUGAGUUAAUACUGAAAAAUAUCAAUUUAUAUCAGGUUAAUUAAAAUAAAAUUUUAAUUAACCUAAGACGUAAAGCAUAAAAGCCACGUUUUUAAUGAAACAAAGAAAAAUCUAUGACAGCAGUAAAUAAUACUAUACAAUUAAUGUAAAUUAGAUAUGGUUAAUUUCCUAAGUCUUGUCUAAUUAAGUGCCAGCAGACGCGGUUAAACUUAAGAGGCAAAUCUUUAUAAUAAAAUAGGUUAAAAUAUGUGUAGAAAUAAUUAGAAUGUGUUUUUAAAAUUUUUGAAUUGGUUAAAUAAACAAAAAUCUUAAAUUUAAAAAAGAAAUUAAUACACAAAAUAUUUUGAAACAUGAAAAAAAGGAAAUUAAAUAGGAUUAGAUACCCUAGUAAACCUUUUUGUAAAUAAAGAAUUAUUCUAUCUGAACAGUACACUUUUAAAAGUGAAAAUCAAAAAUUUUGGCUGUUUAUUUUCUAAUUAGAGGAAUAUGUAAUUUAAUUCGAUAAUCCGCGAAAAACCUUACCUAUUCUUGAAAUUCAAGUGCUGCAUGGUCGUCGUCAAUUUAAAUUUAUAAUUUAAAUUUAAUCCUAAAAAGGAUAAAGUCAGAUAUUAUGGCCUUUAUGAAUAGGGAUAUUAUGUAUUACAAUUCUUAAAUUAAUAUAAAUUUAAAAGUGAAAAAUUAAAGAAGUUUUAAUUAGAAAGAGAAUUUAAUAGUAAUUGAAGAAAUAAUGCUUCAGUGAACCAGUUCAAAUAUGAGUACAAAUUGCCCGUCGCCUUUAUCAAUAAUUUUUAUUAUAAAAUUAAAGAUAGAGCAAGUCGUAACAUAGUGGGGGGAAGGGAACUUCUCCCUGUAGAUUUUU